Molecule: ribosomal RNA, 497 nt
Filed under: uncultured bacterium
Lineage: Bacteria
Description: partial 16S ribosomal RNA
Rfam family: Bacterial small subunit ribosomal RNA
Source: RNAcentral
GACGAACGCUGGCGGCGUGCCUAAUACAUGCAAGUAGAACGCUGAAGAGAGGAGCUUACUCUUCUUGGAUGAGUUGCGAACGGGUGAGUAACGCGUAGGUAACCUGCCUUGUAGCGGGGGAUAACUAUUGGAAACGAUAGCUAAUACCGCAUAACAAUGGAUGACACAUGUCAUUUAUUUGAAAGGGGCAAUUGCUCCACUACAAGAUGGACCUGCGUUGUAUUAGCUAGUAGGUGAGGUAAUGGCUCACCUAGGCGACGAUACAUAGCCGCCCUGAGAGGGUGCUCGGCCACACUGGGACGGGGACACGGCCCAGACUCCUACGGGAGGCAGCAGUAGGGAAUCUUCGGCAAUGGGGGCAACCCUGACCGAGCAACGCCGCGUGAGUGCAGAAGGUUGUCGGAUCGUAAAGCUCUGUUGUAAGUCAAGAACGGGUGUGAGAGUGGAAAGUUCACACUGUGACGGUAGCUUACCAGAAAGGGACGGCUAACUACGUG